UUCAGUUUCCUCAGCAACUUAUCUGAGGAAGGCCAUGAAGACUUGAAGCAAGACGCCAUUUUCCCACUCAUAGGAGAAAAAGAGUCCAGCCAGAUAUUGUUCAUAAAGAAUUGUUUGCCAUGAAUUUUUAAAUUUGUUGGAAUUUUAUCCAUGGGAAGCCUUCAAAGCCUGGAUUUGAAACAUGCUCUUCCAGAGAAGAAUUGUACUUGCUUGUGCCUGAAAAUACUACUAAACCAAGACCACUUAAAAUUUUUGCUCUUUUGGCGCUAAAAGUUUAAGGGCUUAGCUAUCUCUAGGAGACUCCCUUCAAUACCACCCGGAGCCAAGACCCAUUUGGCAUCAUGUCAAGUGUUCUGCACCAGGAGGGUUUCUCCAAACAUCCGGUCCAUCACAUUGUCAGAAAUAGAAGUCCAACAAUUUUUCUUAGAGAAUAUGUCACUC
This is a long non-coding RNA of Hipposideros armiger (great roundleaf bat), 441 nucleotides long. RefSeq lists it as uncharacterized. The record is from RefSeq and is a predicted model, not a curated record. The transcript has 3 exons. Lineage: Eukaryota; Metazoa; Chordata; Mammalia; Chiroptera; Hipposideridae.